This is a long non-coding RNA of Equus caballus (horse), 13473 nucleotides long. NCBI's taxonomy places the organism in Eukaryota, Metazoa, Chordata, Mammalia, Perissodactyla, Equidae. The record is from Ensembl.
GUGUUUUACAGCCUACAGGGAACGAAUCUUACAAAGGCCUGUGAAACGCAGUUUCUUCCCAGGCAUGAUCUCGCUGAAGUAGAACUUCUGCUCUGCCGUGUCCUACAUGGCCCUAGAGCUGCAAGGCACAAAGUCCUGCCUUGUUUCCCCAAGGGGAGACAAGUCCCUCAGCGUCCAGCUUCCAGCUCUUUCGGCAGCUAAGAAACAACUCGCUCUGCAUAGGGCUCUUACAGGCUACCGGGAACAUGUCUUACAAAGGCCUGUGAAUGCAGUUUCUUCCCAGCCCUGAUCUGGCUGAAGUAGAACUUCUGAUCUGCCGUGUCCUACAUGGCCCUAGAGCUGCAAGGCACAAAGUCCUGCCUUGUUUCCCCAAGGGGAGACUAGGCACUCAGCGUCCAGCUUCCAGCUCUUUCGGCAGCUAAGAAACAACUCGCUCUGCAUAGGGCUCUUACAGCCUACUGGGAACAUGUCUUACAAAGGCCUGUGAAAGGCAGUUUCUUCCCAGCCCUGAUCUAGCUGAAGUAGAACUUCUGCUGUGCCGUGUCCGACAUGGCCCUAGACCUUCAAGGCACUAAGUCCUGCCUUGUUUCCACAAGGGGAGACUAGUCCCUAAGUGUCCAGCUUCCAGCUCUUUGGGCAGCUAAGAAACAACUUGCUCUGCACGGGGCUCUUUCAUUCUACCUGGAACAUGUCUUACAAAGGCCUGUGAAUCGCAGUUUCUUCUCAGGCCUGAUGUCGCUGAAGUAGAACUUCUGCUCUGCCGUGUCCUACAUGGCCCUAGAGCUGCAAGGCACAAAGUCCUGCCUUGUUUCCCCAAGGGGAGACUAGUCCCUCAGCGUCCAGCUUCCAGCUCUUUGGGCAGCUAGGAAACAACUUGCUCUGCACAGGGCUCCUCCAUCCUCCCUGGAACAUGUCUUACAAAGGCCUGUGAAACGCAGUUUCUUCCCAGGCCUGAUCUCGCUGAAGUAGAACUUCUGCUCUGCCGUGUCCUACCUGGGCCUAAGCUGCAAGUCACAAAGUCCUGCCUUGUUUCCACAAGGGGAGACAAGUCCCUCAGCGUCCAGCUUCAAGCUCUUUGGGCAGCUAAGAAACAACUCGCUCUGCAUUGGGCUCUUACAGCCUACUGGGAACAAGUCUUGCACAGACCUGUGAAACGCAGUUUCUUCCCAGCCCUGAUCUGGCUGAAGUACAACUUCUGCUCUGCCGUGUCCUACAUGGGCCUAGAGCUGCAAGGCACAAAGUCCUGCCUUGCUUUCCCAAGGGGACACUAGUCCCUCAGCGUCCAGCUUCCAGCUCAUUGGGCAGCUAGGAAACAACUCGCUCUGCAUUGGUGUUUUACAGCCUACCGGGAAGAUAUCUUACAAAGGCCUGUGAAACGCAGUUUCUUUGCAGGCCUGAUAUGUCUGAAGCAGAACUUCCGCUCUGUGUGUGCUACAUUGGCUUAGAGAUGCCAGGUCCAAAGGGCUGCCUUGUUUCCAAAGGGGCAGAGAAGCCCUAAAGCAUGUUGCUUAGAGGUCUUUGGGAAGCUAAGAAACAACUGGCUCUGCCCAGUGCUCUUACAACCUACAUGGAACAUCUGUUACCAAGGCCUGUGAAAUGCAGUUUCUUGACAGGCCUGAUCUGGCUGAAGCAGACCUUCUGCUCUGGGUGUGCUACAUUGGCAUAGAGUUGCCAGGCCCAAAGUGCUGGCUUCUUUGCAAAGGGGUAGAGAGGCCCCAAAGCAUCUUGCUUCCAGCUCUUUGGGAAGCUAAGAAACUACUGGCUCUGCCCAGUGCUCUUACAACCUACCUGGAACAUCUGUUAUCAAGGCCUUUGAAAUGCAGUUUCUUGACAGGCCUGAUCUGGCUGAAGCAGAUCUUCUGCUCUGGGUGUGCUACAUUGCCCUAGAGAUGCAAGGCACAAAGUGAUGUCUUCUUUGCAAAGGGCGAGUUGGGCCCCAAAGCAUCUUGCUUCCAGCUCUUUGGGAAGCUAAGGAACAACUCGCUCUGCAUAGGGCUCUUACAGGCUACCGGGAACAUGACUUACAAAGGCCUGUGAAACGCCGUUUCUUCCCAGGGCUGAUCUCGCUGAAGUAGAACUUCUGCUAUGCCGUGUCCUACAUGGGCCUAGAGCUGCAGGGCACAAAGUCCUGCCUUGUUUCCCCAAGGGGAGACUGGUCCCUCAGCGUCGAGCUUCCAGCUCUUUGGGCAGCUAAGAAACAAGUUGCUCUGCACAGGGCUCUUCCAGCCUACCGGGAACAUGUCUUACAAAGGCCUGUGCAACGGAGUUUCUUCUGAGGCCUGAUAUCGCUGAAGUAGAACUUCUGCUAUACCAUGUCCUACAUCGGCCAGGAGCUGCAAGGCACAAAGUCCUGCCUUGUGUCCUCAAGGGCAGUCAGGGCAAACACCGUGGGGCUUCCAGCUCAAUGGGCAGCUAAGAAACAACUUGCUCUGCACUGGUGUUUUACAGCCUACCUGGAACAUGUCUUACAAAGGCCUCUGAAACGCUGAUUCUUCCCAGUCCUGAUCUGCGUGAAUUAGAACUUCUGCUCUGCCGUGUCCUACAUGUCCCUAGAGCUGCAAGGCACAAAGUCCUGCCUUCUUUUCCCAAGGGAAGCCUAGUCCCUCAGUGUCAAGCUUCCAGCUCUUUGGGCAGCUGAGAAGCAACUUGCUCUGCACAGGUGUUUUACAGCCUACAGGGAACGAGUCUUACAAAGGCCUGUGAAAUGCAGAUUCUUUGCAGCCUUGAUCUGGCCGAAGUAGAACUUCUGCUCUGUGUGUGCUACAUUGCCCUAGAGCUGAAAUGCACAAAGUGCUGUCUUCUUUCCAAAGGGCGAGUUGGGCCCCAAAGCAUCUUGCUGCCAGCUCUUUGGGAAGCUAAGAGACAACUCGCUCUGCACACCUCUCUUACAGCCAACCGGGAACAUUUCUUACAAAGGCCUGUGAAACCCAGUUUCUUUGCAGGCCUGAUCUGGCUGAAGUAGAACUUCUGCUCUGGGUGUGCUACAUUGCCCUAGAGCUGAAAGGCGCAACGUGCAGUCUUCUUUCCAAAGGGCGAGUUGGGCCUCAAAGAAUCUUGCUUCCAGCUCUUUGGGAAGCUAAGAAACAACUCGCUCUGCACAGUGCUCUUACAGCCUACAGGGAACAUCUCUUACAAAGGCCUGUGAAACGCAGUUUCUUUGCAGGCCAGAUCUGGCUGAAGUAGAACUUCUGCUCUGGCUGUGCUACAUUGCCCUAGAGAUGCAAGGCACAAAGUGAUGUCUUCUUUGCAAAGGGCGAGUUGGGCCCCAAAGCAUCUUGCUUCCAGCUCUUUGGGAAGCUAAGAAACAACUCGCUCUGCACACCUCUCUCUUACAGCCAACCGGGAACAUCUCUUACAGAGGCCUGUGAAAUGCAGUUUCUUGGCCGGCCUGAUCUGGCUGAAGUAGAACUUCUGCUCUGGGUGUGCUACAUUGGCCUAGAGCUGCCAGGCUGAAAGGGCUGCCUUGUUUGGAAAGGGGCAGAGAGGCCCCAAAGCUUCUUGCUUCCAGCUCUUUGGGAAGCUAAGAAACAACUGGCUCUGCCCAAUGCUCCUACAACCUACCUGGAAAAUCUGUUACGAAGUCCUGAGUAAUGCAGUUUCUUGGCAGGCCUGAUCUGGCUGAAGCAGACCUUCUGCUCUGGGCGUGGUACAUUGGCCUAGAGGUGCCAGACACAAAGGGCUGCCUUGUUUCCAUAGGGGGAGAGAGGCCGCAAAGCAUCUUGCUUCCAGCUUCUUGGGUAGCUGAGAAACAACUGGCACUGCACAAUGCUACCACAGCCUACCGGGAACAUCACUUACACAGGCCUGUGAAAUGCAGUUUCUUGGCAUGCCUGAUCUGGCUGAAGUAGGACUUCGGCUCUGGUUGUGCUACAUUUGCCUAGGGCUGUCAGGUGCAAAGGGCUGCCUUGUUUCCAAAGGGGAAGAGAAGCCCUAAAGCAUCUUGCUUCCAGCUCUUUGGGAAGCUAAGAAACAACUGGCUCUGCCCAGUGCUCUUACAACCUACCUGGAACAUCUGUUACCAAGGCCUGUGAAAUGCAGUUUCUUGGCAGGCCUGAUUUGGCUGAAGCAGACCUUCUGCUCUGGUUGUGCUACAUUGGCAUAGAGCUGCCAGGCCCAAAGUGUUGUCUUGUUUCCAAAGGGGGAGAUAGGCCCCAUACAUCUUGCUUCCAUCUCUUUGGGAAGCUAAGGAACAACUGGCACUGAACAAUGCUACCACAGCCUACCGGGAACAUCACUUACAAAGGCCUGUGAAACGCAGUUUCUUGGCAGGCCUGAUCUUACUGAAGUAAAAUUGCUGCUCUUGGUGUGCUACAUUUGCCUACAGCUGCCAGGCCGAAAGGGCUGCCUUGUUUGCAAAGAGGCAGAGACACCCCUAAGCAUCUUGCUUAGAGCUCAUUGGGAAGCUAAGAAACAACUGGCUCUGCCCAUUGCUCUGACAGCCUACCGGCAACAUCUCUUACAGAAGCCUGUGAAACGCAUUUUCUAGGCAGGCCUGAUCUGGCUGAAGUAGAACUUCUUCUCUGGCUGUGCUACAUUGGCUUUGAGCUGCCAGGCCGAAAGGGCUGCCUUGUUUGCAAAGGGGAGGAGCGGCCCCAAGCAUCUUGCUUUCAGCUCUUUCUGAAGCUAAGAAAAAACUGGCUCAGCCCAGUGCUCUAACAGCCUAGCGGGAACAUAUCUUACAGAGGCCUGUGAAACGCAGUUUCUUGGCUGGCCUGAUCUGGCUGAAGUAGAACUUCUUCUCUGGCUGUGCUACAUUGGCUUUGAGCUGCCAGGCCGAAAGGGCUGCCUUGUUUGCAAAGGGGAGGAGCGGCCCCAAGCAUCUUGCUUUCAGCUCUUUCUGAAGCUAAGAAAAAACUGGCUCAGCCCAGUGCUCUAAAAGCCUAGCGGGAACAUAUCUUACAGAGGCCUGUGAAACGCAGUUUCUUGGCUGGCCUGAUAUGGCUGAAGUAGAACUUCUGCUCUGGGUGUGCUACAUUGGCAUAGAGAUGCCAGGCCCAAAACGCUGCCUCGUUUGCAACCAGGCAGAGAAGCCCUAAAGCAUCUUGCUUCCAGAUCUUUGGGAAGCUAAGAAACAACUGGCUCUGCCCAGUGCUCUUACAACAUACCUGGAACAUCUGUUACCAAGGCCUGUGAAAUGCAAUUUCUUGGAAGGCCUGAUCUGUCUGAAGCAGAACUUCUGCUCUGGGUGUGCUACAUUGGCCUAGAGCUGCCAGGCCGAAAGGGCUGCCCUGUGCAAAGGGGCAGAGAGGCCCCAAAUCAUCUUGCUUCCAGCUCUUUGGGAAGCUAAGAAACAAGUGGCUCUGCCCAGUGCUCUUACAACCUACCUGGAACAUCUGUUACCAAGGCCUGUGAAAUGCAGUUUCGUGGCAGGCCCCAUCUGACUGAAGCAGACCUUCUGCUCUGGGUGUGCUACAUUGGCAUAGAGCUGCCAGGCCCAAAGGGUUGCCUUGUUUCCAAAGUGGGAGAGAGGCCCCAUACAUCUUGCUUACAGCUCUUUGGGAAGCUAAGGAACAGCCGACACUGAACAAUGCUACCACAGCCUACCGGGAACAUCACUUACAAAGGCCUGUGAAACGCAUGUUCUUGUCAGGCCUGAUCUUACUGAAGUAGAAUUUCUGCUCUGGGUGUGCUACAUUUUCCUACAGCUGCCAGACCGAAAGGGCUGCCUUGUUUGCAAAGAGGCAGAGAGGCCCCAAAGCAUCUUGCUUAGAGCUCUUUGGGAAGCUAAGAAACAACCGGCUCUGGCCAGUGCUCGUACAACCUACCUGGAACAUCUGUUACCAAGGCCUGUGAAAUGCAGUUUCGUGGCAGGCCCCAUCUGACUGAAGCAGACCUUCUGCUCUGGGUGUGCUACAUUGGCAUAGAGCUGCCAGGCCCAAAGGGUUGCCUUGUUUCCAAAGUGGGAGAGAGGCCCCAUACAUCUUGCUUACAGCUCUUUGGGAAGCUAAGGAACAGCCGACACUGAACAAUGCUACCACAGCCUACCGGGAACAUCACUUACAAAGGCCUGUGAAACGCAUGUUCUUGUCAGGCCUGAUCUUACUGAAGUAGAAUUUCUGCUCUGGGUGUGCUACAUUUUCCUACAGCUGCCAGACCGAAAGGGCUGCCUUGUUUGCAAAGAGGCAGAGAGGCCCCAAAGCAUCUUGCUUAGAGCUCUUUGGGAAGCUAAGAAACAACCGGCUCUGGCCAGUGCUCGUACAGCCUAUGUGGAACAUCUGUUACCAAGGCCUGUGAAACGCAGUUUGUUGGCAGGCCUGAUCUGGCUGAAGUAGAACUUCUGCUCUGGGUGUGCUACAUUGGCCUAGAGCUGCCAGGCACAAAGGGCUGCAUUGUUUCCAAAGGGUGAGAGAGGCCCCAAACCAUCUUGCUUCCAGCUUUUUUUGGAGCUAAGAAACAACUGGCUCUGCCCAGUGUUCUUACAGCCUACCGGCAACAUCUCUUACAGAAGCCAGUGAAACGCAGUUUCUAGGCAGGCCUGAUCUGGCUGAAGAAAAACUUCUGCUCUGUGUGUGCUACAUUGGCAUAGAGAUGCCAGGCCCAAAGGGCUGCCUUGUUUGCAAAGGGGCAGAGAAGCCCUAAUGCAUCUUGCUUCCAGCUCUUUGGGAAGCUAAGAAACAACUGGCUCUGCCUAGUGCUCUGACAACCUCCCUGGAACAUCUGCUACCAAGGCCUGUGAAACGCAAUUUCUUGGAAGGCCUGUUCUGGCUGAAGCAGAACUUCUGCUCUGGGUGUGCUACAUUGGCAUACAGCUGCCAUGCCUAAAGUGCUGGCUUCUUUGCAAAGGCGUAGAGAGGCCACAAAGCAUCUUGCUUCCAGCUCUUUGGGAAGAUAAGAAACAAGUGGCUCUGCCCAGGGCUCUUACAACCUACCUGGAACAUCUGUUACCAAGGCCUUUGAAAUGCAGUUUCUUGGCAGGCCUGAUCUGGCUAAAGCAGACCUUCUGCUCUCGGUGUGCUACAUUGGCAUAGAGCUGCAAGGCACAAAGUCCUGCCUUUUGUCCUCAAGUGCAGACUGGCCCCACAGCGAAGGCCUUCCAGCUUGUUGGGCAGCUAAGAAACAACUUGCUCCGGACUGGUGUUUUACAGCCUAAAGGGAACGAGUCUUACAAAGGCCUGUGAAACGCAGUUUCAUCCCAGAACUUAUCUCACUGAAGUAGAACUUCUGCUCUGCCAUGUCCUACAUGGGCCUAGAGCUGCAAGGCACAAAGUCCUGCCUUGUUUCCACAAGGAGAGACAAGUCCCUCAGCGUCCAGCUUCCAGCUCUUUCGGCAGCUAAGAAAUAACUCGCUGUGCAUAGGGCUCUUACAGCCUACCCGGAACAUGUCUUACAAAGGCCUGUGAAAGGCAGUUUCUUCCCAGCCCUGAUCUGGCUGAAGUAGAACUUCUGCUCUGCCGGGUCCUACAUGGGCCUAGAGCUGCAUGGCACAGUGUCCUGCCUUGUUUCCACAAGGGGAGACUAGUCCCUCAGCGUCCAGCUUCCAGCUCUUUGGGCAGCUAAGAAACAACUCGCUCUUCAUUGGUGUUUUACAGCCUACAGGGAACAUGUCUUACAAAGGCCUGUGAAACACAGUUUCUUCUCAGGCCUGAUCUCGCUGAAGUAGAACUUCUGCUAUGCCGUGUCCUUCAUCGGCCUAGAGCUGCCAGGCACAAAGUCCGGCCUUGUGUCCUCAAGGGCAGACAGGCCCCACAGCGUGGGGCUUCCAGCUUUUGGGCAGCUAAGAAACAACUUGCUCAGCACUGGUGUUUUACAGCCUACCGGGAACAUGUCUUACAAAGGCCUCUGAAACGCUGAUUAUUCCCAGCACUGAUCUGCCUGAGGCAGAACUUCUGCUGUGCCGUGUCCUACAUGGCCCUAGAGCUGCAGGACACAAAGUCCUGCCUUGUUUCCACAAGGGGAGACAAGUCCCUCAGCGUCCAGCUUCCAGCUCUUUCGGCAGCUAAGAAACAACUCGCUCUGCAUAGGGCUCUUACAGCCUACCGGGAACAUGUCUUACAAAGACCUGUGAAAGGCAGUUUCUUCCCAGGGCUGAUCUCGCUGAAGUAGAACUUCUGCUCUGCCGUGUCCUACAUGGGCCCGGAUAUUCAAGGCACAAAGACCUGCCUUGUGUCCACAAGGGGAGUCUAGACCCUCAGCGUCCAGCUUCCAGCUCUUUGAUCAGCUAAGAAGCAACUUGCUCUGCACAGGGCUCUUACAGCCUACCAGGAACAUGUCUUACAAAGGCCUGUGAAACGCAGUUUCUUCUCAGGCCUGAUGUCGCUGAAGUAGAACUUCUGCUCUGCAGUGUCCUACAUGGGCCGAGAGCUGCCAGGCACAAAGUCCUGCCUUGUUUUCACAAGGGGAGACUAGUCCCUCACCGUCCAGCUUCCAGCUCUUUGGGCAGCUAAGUAACAACUCGCUCUGCAUUGGUGUUUUACAGCCUACUGGGAACAUGUCUUACAAAGGCCUGUGAAACGCAGUUACUUCUCAGGCCUGAUCUCGCUGACGUAGAACUUCUGCUCUGCCAUGUCCUACAUGGCCCUAGAGCUGCAAGGCACAAAGUCCUGCCUUGUUUCCCCAAGGGGAGACUAGUCACUCAGCAUCCAGCUUCCAGCUCUUUGGGCAGCUAAGAAACAACUUGCUCUGGACAGGGCUCUUCCAGCCUCCCUGGAACAUGUCUUACAAAGGCCUGUGAAACGCAGUUUCUUCCCAGGCCUGAUCUCGCUGCAGUAGAACUUCUGCUCUGCCGUGUCCUAAAUAGGCCUAGAGCUGCAAGGCACAAAGUCCUGCCUUGUUUCCACAAGGGGUGACAAGUCCCUUAGCGUCCAGCUUCCAGCUCCUUGGACAGCUAAGAAACAACUCACUUUGCAUAGGGCUCUUACAGCCUACCGGGAACAUGUCUUACAAAGGCCUGUGAAAUGCAGUUCCUUCUUAGGCCUGAUCUCGCUGAAGUAGAACUUCUGCUCUGCCGUGUCCUACAUGGGCUUAGAGCUGCAAGGCACAAAGUGCGGCCUUGUGUCCUCAAGGGCAGACAGGCCCCACAGCGUGGGGCUUGCAGCUCUUUGUGCUGCUAAGUAACAACUCGCUCUGCAUAGGGCUCUUACAGGGUACCGGGAACAUUUCUUACAAUGGCCUGUGAAACGCAGUUUCUUCCCAUGCCUUGUCUCGCUGAAGUAGAACUUCUGCUAUGCCAUGUCCUACAUCGGCCUAGAGCUGCAAGGCACAAAGUCCUGCCUUGUGUCCUCAAGGGCAGACAUGCCCCACAGCUUGGGACUUCCAGCUCUUUGGGCAGCUAAGAAACAACUUGCUCUGCACUGGAGGUUUGCAGCCUACUGGGAUCGAGUCUUACAAAGGCUUGUGAAGCGCAGUUUCUUCCCAGGGCUGAUCUCGCUGACGUAGAACUUCUGCUCUGCUGUGUCCGACAUGGCCCUAGACCUUCAAGGCACAAAGUCCUGCCUUGUUUCCACAAGGGGAGACUAGUCCGUCAGUGUCCAGCUUCCAGCUCUUUGGGCAGCUAAGAAACAACUUGCUCUGCACGGGGCUCUUUCAUUCUACCUGGAACAUGUCUUACAAAGGCCUGUGAAACGCAGUUUCUUCUCAGGCCUGAUCUCUCUGAAGUAGAACUUCUGCUAUGCCGUGUCCUUCAUCGGCCUAGAGCUGCAAGGCACAAAGUCCUGCCUUGUGUCCUCAAGGGCAGUUAGGCCCCACAGCGUGGGGCUUCCAGCACUUUGGGCAGCUAAGAAACAACUUCCUCUGCACUAGUGUUUUACAGCCUACAGGGAACGAGUGUUACAAAGGCCUGUGAAACGCAGUUUCUUCCCAGGCCUGAUCUCGCUGAAGUAGAACUUCUGCUCUGCCGUGUCCUACAUGUCCCUAGAGCUGCAAGGGACAAAGUCCUGCCUUGUUUCCACAAGGGGAGACUAGUCGCUCAGCGUCCAGCUUCCAGCUCUUUCGGCAGCUAAGAAACAACUUGCUCUGCACAGGGCUCUUCCAUCCUCCCUGGAACAUGUCUUACAAAGGCCUGUGAAAGGCAGUUUCUUCCCAGGCCUGAUCCUGCUGAAGUAGAACUUCUGCUCUGCCGUGUCCUACAUGGGCCUAGAGCUGCAAGGCACAAAAUCCUGCCUUGUUUCCAAAAGGGGAGACAAGUCCCUCAUCGUCCAGCUUGCAGCUCUUUGUGCAGCUAGGAAACAACUCGCUCUGCAUUGGUGUUUUACAGCCCACCGGGAACAUGUCUUACAAAGGCCUGUGAAACGCAGUUUCUUCCCAGGCCUGAUCCCGCUGAAGUGGAACUUCUGCUAUGCUGUGUCCUGCAUCGGCCUAGAGAUGCAAGGCACAAAGUCCUGCCUUGUGUCCUCAAGGGCAGACAGGCCCCACAGCGUGGGGCUUCCAGCUUUUUGGGCAGCUAAGAAACAACUUGCUCCGCACUGGUCUUUUACAGCCUACAGGGAACGUGUCUUACAAAGGCCUGUGAAACGCAGUUUCUUCCCAGGGCUGAUCUCGCUGAAUUAGAACUUCUUCUCUGCCGUGUCCUACAUGGGCCUGGAGCUGCAAGGCACAAAGUCCUGCUUUGUUUCCACUAGGGGAGACAAGUCCCUCAGCGUCCAGCUUCCAGCUCUUUCGGCAGCUAAGAAACAACUCGCUCUGCAUAGGGCUAUACAGCCUACCGGGAACAUGUCUUACAAAGGCCUGUGAAAGGCAGUUUCUUCCCAGCCCUGAUCUACCUGAAGUAGAACUUCUGCUGUGCCGUGUCCUACAGGGCCCUAGAGCUGCAAGGCACAAAGUCCUGCCUUGUUUUCCAAGGGGAGACUAGUCCCUCAGUGUGCAGCUUCCAGCUCUUUGGGCAGCUAAGAAACAAUUUGCUCUGCACAGAUCUCUUCCAUCCUCCCUGGAACAUGUCUUACAAAGGCCUGUGAAACGCAAUUUCUUGGAAGGCCUGAUCUUUCUGAAGCAGAACUUCUGCUCUGAGUGUGCUACCUUGGCAUAGAGCUGCCAGGCCCAAAGCGCUGGCUUCCAUGCAAAGGGGUAGAGAGGCCCCAAAGCAUCUUGCUUCCAGCUCUUUGGGAAGCUAAGAAACUACUGGCUCUGCCCAGUGCUCUUACAACCUACCUGGAACAUCUGUUACCAAGGCCUGUGAAAUGCAGUCUCUUGACAGGCCUGAUCUGGCUGAAGCAGACCUUCUGCUCUGGGUGUGCUACAUUGGCAUAGAGCUGCCAGGCCCAAAGUGCUGGCUUCUUUUCAAAGGGGUAGAGAGGCCCCAAAGCAUCUUGCUUCCAGCUCUUUGGGAAGCUAAGAAACUACUGGCUCUGCCCAGUGCUCUUACAACCUACCUGGAACAUCUGUUACCAAGGCCUGUGAAAUGCAGUCUCUUGACAGGCCUGAUCUGGCUGAAGCAGACCUUCUGCUCUGGGUGUGCUACAUUGGCAUAGAGCUGCCAGGCCCAAAGUGCUGGCUUCUUUUCAAAGGGGUAGAGAGGCCCCAAAGCAUCUUGCUUCCAGCUCUUUGGGAAGCUAAGAAACUACUGGCCCUGCCCAGUGCUCUUACAACCUACCUGGAACAUCUGUUACCAAGGCCUGUGAAAUGCAGUUUCUUGACAGGCCUGAUCUGGCUGAAGCAGACCUUCUGCUCUGGGUGUGCUACAUUGGCAUAGAGCUGCCAGGCCCAAUGGGUUGCCUUGUUUCCAAAGGGGGAGAGAGGCCCCAUACAUCUUGCUUCCAGCUCUUUGGGAAGCUAAGGAACAACUGACACUGAACAAUGCUACCACAGCAUACCGGGAACAUCACUUACAAAGGCCUGUGAAACGCAGUUUCUUGCCAGGCCUGAUCUUACUGAAGUAGAAUUUCUGCUCUGGGUGUGCUAAAUUUGCCUAGAGCUGCCAGGCCGAAAGGGCUGCCUUUUUUGCAAAUUGGCAGAGAGGCCCCACAGCGUGGGGCUUCGAGCUUUUUGGGCAGCUAAGAAAGAACUUGCUCCGCACUGGUGUUUUACAGCCUACAGGGAACGAAUCUUACAAAGGCCUGUGAAACGCAGUUUCUUCCCAGGCAUGAUCUCGCUGAAGUAGAACUUCUGCUCUGCCGUGUCCUACAUGGCCCUAGAGAUGCAAGGCACAAAGUCCUGCCUUGUUUCCCCAAGGGGAGACAAGUCCCUCAGCGUCCAGCUUCCAGCUCUUUCGGCAGCUAAGAAACAACUCGCUCUGCAUAGGGCUCUUACAGACCACCGGGAACAUGUCUUAAAAAGGCCUGUGAAAAGCGGUUUCUUCCCAGCCCUGAUCUGUCUGAAGUAGAACUUCUGAUCUGCCGUGUCCUACAUGGCACUAGAGCUGCAAGGCACAAAGUCCUGCCUUGCUUCCCCAAGGGGAGACUAGUCCCUCAGCGUCCAGCUUCCAGCUCUUUGGGCAGCUAGGAAAAAACUCGCUAUGCAUUGGUGUUGUACAGCCUACCGGGAACAUACCUUACAAAGGCCUGUGUAACGCAGUUUCUUCCCAGGUCUGAUCUCGCUGAAGUAGAACUUCUGCUCUGCCGUGUCCUACAUGGGCCUAGAGCUGCAAGGCACAAACUCCUGUCUUGUGUCCUCAAGGGCAGACAGGCCCCACAGCAUGGGGCUUCCAGAUCUUUGGGCAGCUGAGAAGCAACUUGCUCUGCACAGGAGUUUUACAGCCUACAGGGAACGAGUCUUACAAAGGCCUGUGAAACGCAGUUUCUUUGUAGGCCUGAUCUGGCUGAAGUAGAACUUCUGCUCUGGGUGUGCUACAUUGACCUAGAGCUGAAAGGCACAACGUGCAGGCUUCUUUCCAAAGGGCGAGUUGGGCCCCAAAGCAUCUUGCUUCCAGCUCUUUGGGAAGCUAAGAAACAACUCGCUCUGCACAGUGCUCUUACAGCCUACCGGGAACAUCUCUUACAAAGGCCUGUGAAACGCAGUUUCUUUGCAGGCCUGAUCUGGCUGAAGUAGAACUUCUGCUCUGCGUGUGCUCCAUUGCCCUAGAGCUGAAAGGCACAACGUGCAGGCUUCUUUCCAAAGGGCGAGUUGGGCCCCAAAGCAUCUUGCUUCCAGCUCUUUGGGAAGCUAAGAAACAACUCGCUCUGCACAGUGCUCUUGAAGCCUACCGGGAACAUCUCUUACAAAGGCCUGUGAAACGCAGUUUCCUUGCAGGCCUCAUAUGGCUGAAGUAGAACUUUUGCUCUGCGUGUUCUACAUUGCCCUAGAGCUGAAAGUCACAACGUGCAGGCUUCUUUCCAAAGGGCGAGUUGGGCCCCAAAGCAUCUUGCUUCCAGGUCUUUGGGAAGCUAAGAAACAACUCGCUCUGCACAGUGCUCUUACAGCCUACCGGGAACAUCUCUUACAAAGGCCUGUGAAACGCAGUUUCUUUGCAGGCCUCAUCAGGCUGAAGUAGAACUUCUGCUCUGGGUGUGCUCCAUUGCCCUAGAGCUGAAAGGCACAACGUGCAGGCUUCUUUACAAAGGACGAGUUGGGCCCCAAAGCAUCUUGCUUCUAGCUCUUUGGGAA